Molecule: ribosomal RNA, 621 nt
Filed under: Ceratosolen sp. ex Ficus congesta
Lineage: Eukaryota; Metazoa; Arthropoda; Insecta; Hymenoptera; Agaonidae
Description: eukaryotic LSU rRNA
Rfam family: Eukaryotic large subunit ribosomal RNA
Source: RNAcentral
UUACCGGUCGGCGACGCUACUGCUUUGGAUACUUUCAGGACCCGUCUUGAAACACGGACCAAGGAGUCUAACAUGUGCGGGAGUCACUGGGUUAUCGUUAAAAUUGAUCAAGCCUAAAGUCGCAAUGAAAGUGAAGGUCGUCCCUCGAGGACGGCCGAGGGAGGAUGGCCCGGGGUUCUUGUUGGUCCCGGGCUCGCACUCCCGGGGCGUCUCAGGGUCAUCGCGACUCGAGGCGCACCCAGAGCGUACACGUUGGGACCCGAAAGAUGGUGAACUAUGCCUGGUCAGGACGAAGUCAGGGGAAACCCUGAUGGAGGUCCGUAGCGAUUCUGACGUGCAAAUCGAUCGUCGGAACUGGGUAUAGGGGCGAAAGACUAAUCGAACCAUCUAGUAGCUGGUUCCCUCCGAAGUUUCCCUCAGGAUAGCUGGCACUCGCUCGAUAUGCGAGUCUCAUCUGGUAAAGCGAAUGAUUAGAGGCCUUGGGGCCGAAACGACCUCAACCUAUUCUCAAACUUUAAAUGGGUGAGAUCUCUGGCUUGCUUGAACGUUGAAGCCAAGAGAUAUUUAAGGAUCAGAGUGCCAAGUGGGCCAAUUUUGGUAAGCAGAACUGGCGCUGUGGGA